AGCAGUCGCCGCGGUAAUACGUAGGUCCCGAGCGUUGUCCGGAUUUAUUGGGCGUAAAGCGAGCGCAGGCGGUUAGAUAAGUCUGAAGUGAAAGGCAGUGGCUCAACCAUUGUAUGCUUUGGAAACUGUUUAACUUGAGUGCAGAAGGGGAGAGUGGAAUUCCAUGUGUAGCGGUGAAAUGCGUAGAUAUAUGGAGGAACACCGGUGGCGAAAGCGGCUCUCUGGUCUGUAACUGACGCUGAGGCUCGAAAGCGUGGGGAGCGAACAGGAUUAGAUACCCCCGUAGUCCCUGUCUCUUAUACA
Molecule: ribosomal RNA, 303 nt
Filed under: uncultured bacterium
Lineage: Bacteria
Description: partial 16S ribosomal RNA
Rfam family: Bacterial small subunit ribosomal RNA
Source: RNAcentral